UGAGCAAUCUGCCCUUCUCAUCGGAAUAAGCGUUGGAAACGACGUCUAAUGCCGAAUACGACCUCCUUUCGCAUGAUCGGAGGUGGAAAGCUCCGGCGGAGAAGGAUGAGCUCGCGGCCUAUCAGCUAGUUGGUGUGGGUAAUGGCCCACCAAGGCGACGACGGGUAGCUGGUCUGAGAGGAUGGCCAGCCACAUCGGGACUGAGACACGGCCCAGAUCCGUACGGG
This 227-nucleotide ribosomal RNA is filed under the name uncultured bacterium. RNAcentral's name for it is "partial 16S ribosomal RNA". It matches the Rfam family "Bacterial small subunit ribosomal RNA", at positions 118 to 345 of the family's 1533-position model. The record is from RNAcentral.